AGGAGCGGGACAGGGCGCGAGAGUCGGUCUGGCUUCCGCUGCCCGGGUCAGAGGCCGCCAGAGCCAGAGGGAAAGGGGCCCCCACCAGGGGAAGUGGCGCCCACCCUGCGUUCCCACUUCCUCUGGCUCAUUUCUGGUGCCCACGCCAGGAGAGGGCCCAGGGGGACCUCCCCGAGGUUCUCAAGCCCGACACGCCUGAGACCCGCCCACUUGGUGGGCCGCAUGAGGCUGGUCGAGGGACUGAGGCUGCUCUGAGGAUGGAGGGCCCCCAAACGGAUGGAGUCACCCCUGUCAGACCUGGGCCCCCUUGGGCUCCUGCCUUCUUGCUCCCCCCGAGUCCUACACCGCGUGGGACACUGCGGGGAGCGACCCCCCGCCAGGCCUGGCCGGUCCAGGUGUGUUCAUGUGCUGUGCACAGGCCACUUGCCCCGACAGCCCAGAGUCCAGAGCAGGGAGCGCUGCCGGAGCCUUUGCCAGCGGCCGCUUCCGCUUUGCGGGGAGGGGACAGCGAAGCACCUGCCAGCUUACACCUGCAGGAGGGCGGGGCAGAGGUGCAGGCGGGCUUGCUGGAGUGGCCACCCUAACAGUCUCCAAAAUACGGGCGGUGGAUCUCGAGGGUUAGUUUCUCCGCCGGCAGAGUACUCCGUGCUUGGCUGCACCUGGGCGAGCCACACCCCCCCAGGACCCUUCCGAUGUGAUGUUCUUGGCUCAAAGCGUUUUUCCAGAGAAGGUUCUGGGAAUUCACGUGGAAAACAGGCUUUCAACCUCGUCUCACAGUUGCCCACUUUCCUGGCCACAGACUUCUUUCCAGGGGAAGGCCUGUCUGCACUGCGCUCGGAGGCCAGGCAUGCUGGCCGGCACAGCCCACGGGAGGAGCAGCGGGUGACCUGGCUGCUGGCCCAGUCCCGCUCUGUCACUCGAGUGCACCCUCCUGGACCCGCAGGUCUCCUGUUGCCCGGACCCCGUGUUGCAGCUAGUGGAUGUUGAGGGCACCUGGGGAGCGAGGCUGGCUGUGCGCCUUGGUCCCCCGAACCCUCCCAGGGCACCGCAGGACUCGAGAGGGCAGGAGUGCCCGGGUUUGAAGCCAGGUCCUCAAGCAGCAUCGUCUCUGAGGCCCCCUCCCCAGCGUCCUGUUUGCAGACCAGAGUGUGUAACAGAGCUACCCCCCAAGGGUCCUUUGGGAGUUAACUUGUCCGCACGAGCCCCAGAGAGUGGGCUUCUGUUGCUAGCCCCAGCCAGCCAGCAGCCCGAGUGUCCCAGGGCCACACAAACAGGCAUCAGGUGGCGCAGGGCAGAGCCGUCCUGGCAGGGGGAGGUGGCCCCUUUGUGUGUGACCCAGACCCGGGAGCAGAGUCCCAAAGAACUCGUGGCCCGUGGACCGUCCGUUGGGGGCUCCAGCAUGGCUCUUGGGGGCUGCCCGGCAUGAUGACACUUGCCGGUGUCUGGCGGACACAGUGUCUGCUGGUGUUUGGGAAGGAAGGAGGUGACACGGGGGCCCCUGACCACGUGAGUCUGCCAGGAGCUCAGAUACUGGGCGUGCGUGGUGGUGAGACGUGUCCUUGGCUUCCAGGGUUGCCCAGGCAAGUCACUGACAACAGCGUGGACCCGUGCCAGGGCCCUGGCAGGGAUAACCGGCCUGCGAUGGAGACGGUGGGCGUCUCCACGGAGCUGACAGGGAGCUGAGGUCUGAGCGAGGAGGGCCACACACAGGCGGCCUGGGGACAAGUGCGCCUGGGGGACGGCAGCUAAGAGAAAGCCCCAAGGGCGGGUUGUGCACAAGCCCACGAUGGCCGGGUUUGGCCUUUCAGAGGGUCUGGGGCCGCUGCCUGGAGGGCGGGAAGGCCAGUGGUGCCGCCAGGGGCGGUGGGGCUUGACCCAUUGGCCCUGGGGGUGUCAGUGGCGAAGGAAGGAAAGGGGCGCCCUUCCCAGAGCAUGGCACACCUGCUGCUGGACCUCAGCGCAGGAGACCCGGGGCCUGAGCGCUCCUCCCUGGGGUGCUGGGCCAGAGACCCCAGCAGUGCUUCUGACCGCUGAGUGCCGCCGCCCCCCGCUCGCCCCCGCGCUCACCGCCCGCACGUCGUCGGGCAGGUCCUCGUCCAGCUCGCCCUUGACCGUCUUCUCCAGGGUGUUGAUGGCGGCCUCCAGGAGCUUCUCGUGGUGGUGGUUCUCCAGGUCCCGGCACUGAGCCAUCGUGCGGCGCGAGUUAAGCCGGGGCGGGACGAGCAGCCCCCCCACCCCCCGGGCAGGGCCCUCCCUUUGGCCCCGGGUCCCGCUCGUCCCUCGUCUCCAUCCCCACCGCCUCCCUCCGCUCCAGCCCCUUCUAACGCAGCUCCAGAGCUCCCGCCGGGUCGGAACCGAGAGGCCUCUUGGAAGGCACCUGUCCUGCAGGCCUUUGCACAGGCCGCCUCCCGGGCCGGGAAGGUCCUCCCCAGCUUCCCAGCCGGCCCUGCGGCCCACCCUGAGGCCUCAGUUGGUGGAGGCUGCCUCCAGAGCUCUGCGCCCCCGCAGGACCUCGGACCCAGGAGGACAGGACGGGGUGACUUCUGGGGUGAACCUCUGAGCCCCAAAUGUCCGCUCCUAACCUAACCUUUCUCCUGACCAUCUCAUCACGGAUGAGCAGGCAGCCUCCUCGGCACCGAGGCCGCCCCGCCCCGAGGGCGUGCGCAGGGCGGGGUGUCCCGGAGUGAGGCCUCCUGGUGAGGUCAGGACCUGGGCUGUGAGCAGCAGCCUGCCAGGCAGCCCCCGAUGGGGGGCCUUCCAAACUCUAACCAGGCGCCACUGUGCCGGGGGGUCAGAGAACAUCCCUGGAACAUUCCAGGUGGUUGCCAGGUUUCUAUCCUUUGAAGGUGGGCUUUUCUCCUCAGUGGAAAAACGGGAGGUUUUACACUCUAAUCUCAAAGCUGCAGAUUCCCACUAAAUAGGGUCCUGUUUAGUCUCAUGUUGGUGGAGAAAGAGACCUUUUUGUUUUUUUGGCUUCUUAGGGCCGCCCCCUCGGCAUAUGGAGGUUCCCAGGCUAGGGGUCCACCACAGCCACCGCAACGCAGGAUCUGAGCCGUGUCUGCGGCCUACACCACAGCUCACGGCAACGCCGGAUCCUUCACCCGCUGAGCGAGGCCAGGGAUUGAACCGUCAACCUCAUGGGUCCUAGUCGGAUUUGUUUCCGCUGCGCCACGACGGGGCCCCCGAGACAGACAUCUUUCUGUAAACCAAACGCGGCGUUGGCAUUUCCGGCUUAUGGUCUCCUGAAAACGACAAGGAGGCCGCCACCGCGCUCGUUUAGGCUUGGACGCCCCGGGCUGCGCGCCGGCUGAAGGCGCUCCUUAGGCUGGAGCGGCGCCUCCGACCGACCGCGGACCUUCCCGGGCGGCGCCAUGCCGCGACCCUGCCCGCUCUCCCUCCCAGCCGCUCCCCAGCAGCCACUCGGAGGUUCGUGGCCUUCUCCGGGCCUCUGCCCCAGCCCUGGCUGGCCCCUCAGCAUGCGCACGCAGCCACCACCUUCCUUCGGGCUCCUCCGUGGCACCUGCCUCCACUUCCAAAGAAGCAGGGAGGGAGUCGCUAAGAGCCAGGCUGCCUGCCAGCUCCACCACGCUGUGUAACCCUGGGGCUUUAACUCCCCGGCGCCGCCUCUACUUCCCCAUCUGUGAAGUGGGCUUCCUCUGCAUAGUGACACAUCUCAUGAGAUGGCAGUGACGCGUCAGUGGGUUUCUUCUCACCGAAUGCCUUGCGGGGUGUCUGGCAGAGAGGAAACCCUGGCCACUGUGCCUCUUACCCAGGUUUCUCGCUCUCAGGGCACCUGCCUGCAGGCCUCUCGGCCCCACCCCCACCCCCGGGGCCUCCCCGCACCGCUGCGCCCCACUGCUCUGCAAGGCACCCGGCCUCGCCCAGGUGCCAAGGUGAGAGCUGCUCCCUGUGAGCCAGAGGGACGGGCCAUGCCUCUGACCUGCCGCAGGGCAGUGGCAUGGGAGUCUGAGGCUGCAGGCUGAGCCAAUUAAACGUUUUCGAACGUGUGAACUCUUGCAAUGAACAAAAGCAGGGUCACUGUAAAGCCCGACUCCGCCCUGGAGCUUCGGGUCUCUGGGACCCGGCUGCGACGCCAGCGCGCAGGUUCUGGAGAAUCCGGGGACAGUGAAAAGGGGCUCCCCCUGCUCGAAGGUUGCAAGCCACUGCCUGAGCCCCCACCCCUGCCAGUGCUCGCGGUUGCUUUCUGCAGCGCUGGAGCCUGCUGGCGGGUGGGGGUGGGACAAGCACCCCCGCUGCGGUGGGGCACCUCUCCUGUGUGACACGACACUUGACAAGUGAGGCCCUGGUGAGACGCUGUCUCCCGCCAGCGCAGCUUGCACCAAGGUCCCUGUCAUCUGUGCCCUUCAGCCCCGGCCCCCACAGCCUCAUAAACGCACGGGUCCACCUGGCUGCCCAGGACCUUAGGAAGCUAAACCACAGGCUCCUCGCAUGGCCCUGAGAUGCCGCGACUGCAGGCUGUGCCGCUGGAGCCUUGGUUUCCUCCCAGGGUGGGGGGAGCGCAGCACCUGGACGGCUCCUGGGCUCUGCUCGCGUUAGGAUUCGCGUUAAGAAGUUCCUUCGGACGGGUCAGCGUUCCAGAGGAACGAGUGCUGCACGAGGACCCCUCAUAACCGCAACGAAAAGCAGUAGAAGAAGAGAAGGCCCCCGUCGCCACCACGCCACGUCACUGGGACGCCUCCCUCCGGCAGGGGCGAGGCGCUCCCGGGAAGGCCCCGCUCACCUCCAGCUGCUCCGCCAGCUGCAUCUCCAGCAUCAUGAGCGAGUUGAACAGCUCGGCGACGCGCUCUCUGCACGCCACUAGCCUCGUCUCCAAGGUGGUCAGUUCAGACGCGUCCCGGAUGGCACUCAGGCUCUGGAAACAAAGCCUGUGCUUUAGGAACCCAGCGCUGAGCGUGGCCGUAGUUACCAAGACGGGAGGCGGCCCUGUGGCUCGUGGGGAGGAACGUGGAGCCCGGGGCCGCGCCGCCCGACCCCGGCCGAGGCUGUCAGGGCAGGGCCUCUGCCAGCUGCUGCGUCCUUAGCUCACGGGGGAGGAGCAGUGGCCUCAGAGUCACAAGGACUCUGUGGCUCUCCCUGGGUCACCGUGCCACCUUCGGGCUCUGAACCUCGUCUUCUCAGGUCCAGGCUCACAAGGCCUGGGGGUGAGGCGGCGUCUGUGAGGUCCCGGCUCCCACAGGGGCUCGGCUCCCAGCGCUGCCAGACUCUGAUAAGAAGCCCUUGGAGUUCCCACUGUUGGCACAAUGGGACUGGCAGCGUCUCUGCAGGGUCAGGACGCAGGUUCAGUCCCCAGCCUGGCAGAGUGGGCAAAGGAUCUGGUGUAGGUUGCAGCUGUGGUUCAGGCCUGAUUCCUGGCCUGGGAAAUGCAUGUACCACAGGGCAGCCGAAAACACAGGGACCCGCAGCAGGAACGCACGCAGGCCGAGCCUGUGGGAGCCGGCUGGGCCCGCACACGCCCCACAAAGGAGCAGAGGCAGGUCUGUCGGCAAGGCGGGCGCUCGUGAGCUGCAGAGCACGUGCAUCCCAGCCUGCACCCAGUGCCAGCCCGUCUCUAGCGACGGACGCAAUGCCCUCAGAGUCACGGGCGUGACUGGGGUCACGGCUGCCUCGUCUGGAGAAGACCAGCCCCCUCACUGGCUCAACCUGACCCGCAGACACUCCCGCCAGGGCCCAGACGAAAGGUAAAAAUAAAGCCACAAAAGCACGUGA
Non-coding RNA from Sus scrofa (pig), 5727 nucleotides. Lineage: Eukaryota; Metazoa; Chordata; Mammalia; Artiodactyla; Suidae. The record is from RefSeq and is a predicted model, not a curated record.